RNAcentral lists this long non-coding RNA (4009 nucleotides) under Marmota monax (woodchuck). Lineage: Eukaryota; Metazoa; Chordata; Mammalia; Rodentia; Sciuridae. The record is from RNAcentral.
AAUAGAGUUUACUGACACAGCCUCCUGCGUCCCGUGCCUACCCUCUGUGGCUACUUUGUCACGGCAGCAGAGCUGGGCAACUGGGACAGAGACCAAGAGCCUGCAGGACUGAAGGGCUUUAUGGUGUGGCCCUUUGUGCAGCAUGUGCCCACUGGUCACCCGCUAGAUACUCACACAGCACACCACACACCACGUACCAGGAAGUCUCACCUACACACACGUACACACACACGCAGUAGGUACACACAUCACACACGUCACACACUAUGUACGCACAGAUACCCUCCUGCCUGAGGGGCUGCCCCGGCUGGGCAGUGUGGCUCGGCCACAGGAUUGGCUACUGCACUGUGUGAGCGGCAGACAUCUAGACACAGAGCUCCCUCUUCCGUAGUUUUCUUGUAUCCUUCAUGACCUGUCACUUCUGGGACCAUGUCCAGGUAGGUGUCAACCUCAGAUGUGUGUGGGCUGCUUGGAUCUGAGCCUCUGGCUGCCGGGGUGCGCCUGGUGGCUCCCGAGCACUGUUUCCGAGCACCCGGAUUACUCCCUGUUGACAGCACAUGCCCUGUCUCCUCCCUGAGCACGCUGCUUCUCCCUGAGCACCCCUCUCCUCCUGAGUACCCGCUUUCCUCUGAGCCCCCCGUUCUGUGCUGGUGAGCCACUGAAGGUCUAGCCUAUGGAGAUGUUGGCCUUGCAUGCAGCAUUUGGGUAUGACUUAGNAUGUAGGGUUUUUUUCUUUUUUUUAAAAAAAAGAUGCUAUUUAAAAUAGUCUUGAGCGUGAAGUGCCCUAUUUUUGGAUUUAGUGACUUUGUGAGCUCAGUAGAACUCUGUAUCCUGCAGCCAGGUUUAUCCAGGAAAUUCAGGACCUGGCUCUCCAGGCCAAUGUCCCUCAGCCUGACCGUUCUGCUCCAGGAGGUCCUGGGGGCUGCCUGGGCGGAGGCCACAUGUCUUCCUGGGGACAUGUCCCUGCCUCAUUCUGCUGGAGACACAGGCUCAGCUCUGAGGCCUCCCCUGCAACCACGUCACAGCUGAGCCUGUGCAUGGACACACCCUGUGUGUGGACCCACGCUGGGCGGUCGAUGCCAGGAUGGCCACUCUCUCACUGUCCUGUCAGGUUGGCAUCUGUGUUCACCAGCUGUCUGCGCUGGUUGGCAGACGCCCCUGGGAGGUCCUCCCCUGGAACACGUGGGCCCGUGGCUCACAGACCCACAACGGAGUGUCUGGCGGGCUGUGAGGUGGCAUCCUGCUCGGGUCCCGGCUCUCCUGGGUGAAGGCUCCUGCCUUGGGCUCCUCCCCUGCAGGUGGGGACAGUGGUAAUGGCACCUCCCACAGUCCCUGGGAGGUGAGUGAGGCCAUGUGCUUGGAGCUCCGAGGACACUAUGGGGUCCCUGGCCAGAGCAGCCCGCAGCUGACACAGAGGCCAGGGCUGGAUCAUCUCCUGAGAUCCAUUUAAUUGCUGGACACAGGGUGGACAUUAUCAUGUUGAAAAGUUUAAUUUCAUGCUAAGUCACAUGAAAAAUGUCUUCUGAGAACUCCUGUCUGAGGGGCUGCCCCAAGUGGCCAGCGUGGCUCAACAGUGUCCUGGGCUGUUUCCAGGAGCUGCUUGUCUUCAGCUUGUACCCAGUGGAUGGGCUGGGCUGCCGUCUCCCCAGCCAAUGUCCUCUGUGUCCCUGGGCCUCAGUAUCCUGCCAGAGGGUGACACUCAGACAAUAGGAGGAAGCUGCCCAGCGAGGAUUCAGGAAACCAAAUCAGCUGACUAGAGAGGGAGAAGCAGAGGAGGAGACGCAGAAAUGUGGACCAGAGACAGCUGGAGACCGGGGGGCACUGAGGCAUCAGGUGCUGGGAGACGUCAGGGCCAGAGGUCGACUAGGCCGCGUGCCAGAGCACCUCCAGGAAGGGAGACGGAGGUGGAGGGGAGGCCGAGGGGCGCGCUCAGCCACCCCUUCCUCGGGGCCCUGGGCUUCCAGCACAGGUGGGAAGAGGUUGCAGCGGGUUGUGAGAGCAGCACUGGGCAUUUGGAUUUCGCCACUCCAGGGGCAGGGGACCAUCGGCAUUGGAGCCCGGGUUUGGGAAGCAGGGAGCCGGAGGUCGUUCAUCCCUCGCCUUUGCCUCUGCCAGCUGCACUGUAGCCAGGGAGAGGUUCUCUGGUCCACCUGCCUGGACCCAGCCCCUCUGGGACAGUUUUACCUGCUGCAAGCUUCUCUACUGACGAGAAGCAUGUUCAGGAGGCGGUCAUACCUCCUGAAGGGGAGCUGGACGGAUGGGGACAUUUUAUACCUUUGCAUUUUCUGCAUAUUGGGCUGCGUGAGGAAGUUAUUGAUGGACACAGGGCAGUGCGACUUUAGGGAGCAGUGCCGUGCUGCAGCUUGCUCGUCUGCCCCGGGCCCACACGGAGCUGCCCCUCUGUGCUGGUUGCACACAGACCCAGGAGAGAGCAGCUGGGUUCUUCAGCACCCCCCACCUCCGGGCUGACCCUGUCCCUGCCACAGCUCCUCUAGCACUUGGUCCCUGGUUGCCUUUCGUGGGCAACCUGCAGCCCGGGUUCCAGAACCACAGGUAACACGCCCGUCUCCCCGGGCUGGUGGGGGGCUGCAGCCCUUCUUGCUCCACGGGUCUUUUUCCAAGUCACACAGAGCAGCAAGUGCUCCAGUCAGAAGCCCCCCGUGAGGACCAAGGUGGCCUGCUUCAGCUGAUGCCCUCCAGGCUUCCUGCUUACUCGACCCUUACUUGUACCUUCUCCAUUAUGUGAUGAUCCACGGGGCUUUUUAAAAAUCAGUUUCUCUUAAAUUCUCGCCCACUGCUCAAUGUGUUAAGAUCAUUAAUUCCCAAGAGCAGAGGUGAUACCUAUUCCACCUUUGCAUUCCCAGGACAAUCCUUGUAAAUAUUGCAUGCCAGAUUACCACUCCUGGACGUGGAGUGGCUGUCACAGAUGUGGAAUGGUAUACGCACUGAGGCCACAGGACACCUUGGUGGAGCACUCCGCUGCCACCUGAAGACAGACCGCUGGUUCCUCCAGGGUAGCUGGGGGAAUAGCCUCUAUUGCCCCACCUGUGAGAUGAAGGGCAGUCUUGGUGGCCUGUGGGGGCCCCUCCACUGCUAAUUACCCAGUUACUGGCAUUCUGGGUCAGUAUUAUUUUUUUUCUCAUUUUUUAAUUUGUUAGGAAAAAAAAAAAUGAGUGACUGGGAAAGGUUGGCUUGCAGCCUGAUGCAGUAACUGGCUGAUCUUGCCCUCUCCAGGCCAAAGCCUGCAGCCCUGGAGAGAACCUGAGAAGACCCCGACUCAGACGGGGGACAGCGGAUAGCCCAGGACGUGGUCUGAGGAGAAGGAAGGAGGGCCAUGCUGGGGCUGUUCCUGCUCUGUGAGAAUUCAGCUCCCUCCCCGGGGGAGGCACCAGGCAGAAGAGGGGUCUUGCCAGGUUGAGAAGACAGAGGCGGACCCUGGCUGAGCUGGGUGCCUGGACUUUGCAGAGAAGAGAGUGGGGAGUCAUGUAGAAAGAACUCCAGGAAUCCACACAAGCACAGGACGGAAUCCCACCACUUAGGCGAAGCUGUAAACUGAAACUUUCCAGAACUUGCAAACACACUAGAUUCCUGUCAAGCCCAAGAAAAGAGACACAAGAAAAAAAUGGGAGGAUUAAGUAUGGAUCCUAAAAGGGGCAUCGCUUAGGAGAGGCGCUGCCUUAGCCUCGGAGUAGAUGCCACCCCAACCUGCCCUAGUGGCCCUAAAACCAGGUAUGGAAAGGGUGGAGUUACCCUGUUACUCAAAACAGUACAGCGUUCUCAAGAGGGGAAGAUGGUGCAGACAUUCAGCAGUCACCACCACGAUGUUCAGCAGCCCUCAAACCUCACCAGACACCGGAAGCCCAGGAGGUGACUCGAGGCCAGGAGCCAAGCUGGUCCACGUGUGCUCUCCGCAGAGAGAGGGUGGAGUCCGCCUUCGGAAUGUCCAAGCAGCAGUUUAGAUACAAUUAGGGAAGGAAGGAANUGGUGAAGACGGGGGGGGAAGACCCUG